ACGCUCGACACCUACGGGAGCAGCAGUAGGGAAUCUUCCACAAUGGACGCAAGUCUGAUGGAGCAACGCCGCGUGAGUGAAGAAGGUCUUCGGAUCGUAAAACUCUGUUGUUAGAGAAGAACACGAGUGAGAGUAACUGUUCAUUCGAUGACGGUAUCUAACCAGCAAGUCACGGCUAACUACGUGUCAGCAGCCGCGGUAAUCUGAGCGGGCUGGCAAGGC
Molecule: ribosomal RNA, 222 nt
Filed under: uncultured bacterium
Lineage: Bacteria
Description: partial 16S ribosomal RNA
Rfam family: Bacterial small subunit ribosomal RNA
Source: RNAcentral